UACGUAGGGUGCGAGCGUUAAUCGGAAUUACUGGGCGUAAAGCGUGCGCAGGCGGUGAUGUAAGACAGAUGUGAAAUCCCCGGGCUCAACCUGGGAACUGCAUUUGUGACUGCAUCGCUGGAGUGCGGCAGAGGGGGAUGGAAUUCCGCGUGUAGCAGUGAAAUGCGUAGAUAUGCGGAGGAACACCGAUGGCGAAGGCAAUCCCCUGGGCCUGCACUGACGCUCAUGCACGAAAGCGUGGGGAG
RNAcentral lists this ribosomal RNA (245 nucleotides) under uncultured bacterium. RNAcentral's name for it is "partial 16S ribosomal RNA". It matches the Rfam family "Bacterial small subunit ribosomal RNA", at positions 524 to 768 of the family's 1533-position model. The record is from RNAcentral.